Molecule: ribosomal RNA, 253 nt
Filed under: uncultured bacterium
Lineage: Bacteria
Description: partial 16S ribosomal RNA
Rfam family: Bacterial small subunit ribosomal RNA
Source: RNAcentral
UACGUAGGGUGCGAGCGUUAAUCGGAAUUACUGGGCGUAAAGCGUGCGCAGGCGGUUUUGUAAGCCAGAUGUGAAAUCCCCGGGCUUAACCUGGGAAUGGCAUUUGGGACUGCAAGGCUGGAGUGCGGCAGAGGAGACUGGAAUUCCCGGUGUAGCAGUGAAAUGCGUAGAUAUCGGGAGGAAUACCGAUGGCGAAGGCAGUUCUCUGGGCCGUAACUGACGCUGAGGAGCGAAAGCGUGGGGAGCGAACAGG